This 69-nucleotide transfer RNA is filed under the name Lyriocephalus scutatus. RNAcentral describes it as "tRNA-Ala". Lineage: Eukaryota; Metazoa; Chordata; Lepidosauria; Squamata; Agamidae. The record is from RNAcentral.
AUAAAACCUGUAAGACUCCACUUACAUCUCCUGAAUGCAACUCAGACACUUUACUUAAAUUAAGGCCUU